This 1068-nucleotide long non-coding RNA is filed under the name Homo sapiens (human). RNAcentral describes it as "Pvt1 oncogene". The stretch from base 313 to 407 matches the Rfam family "Pvt1 oncogene conserved region 3". The record is from RNAcentral. Lineage: Eukaryota; Metazoa; Chordata; Mammalia; Primates; Hominidae.
GACUUUCUCAGUUUUUGCAUCGCAUGUGAGGGUUUGUUGGGUGCUCCUAAACCCUCAUCAUGGUCAUUCUUCUUGGCUGGGCUGUUGAUUUAAUUAGGAUUUAUUAGGAGAAAAACCUUCCCGGAAGCUGCAGAAGGACAAAUACAGAAUCCGUGUCUGGGAGAAACCUCGUGGCCUGGUCUCCAUUAUUUGAGAUGAGUUACAUCUUGGAGGUGAGGACGUGCCUCGUGGUCUAAAGCUUCGGCACAAGGGCCCAACUGGAAUUCCACUUACGGGCCUGAUCUUUUGGCCAGAAGGAGAUUAAAAAGAUGCCCCUCAAGAUGGCUGUGCCUGUCAGCUGCAUGGAGCUUCGUUCAAGUAUUUUCUGAGCCUGAUGGAUUUACAGUGAUCUUCAGUGGUCUGGGGAAUAACGCUGGUGGAACCAUGCACUGGAAUGACACACGCCCGGCACAUUUCAGGAUACUAAAAGUGGUUUUAAGGGAGGCUGUGGCUGAAUGCCUCAUGGAUUCUUACAGCUUGGAUGUCCAUGGGGGACGAAGGACUGCAGCUGGCUGAGAGGGUUGAGAUCUCUGUUUACUUAGAUCUCUGCCAACUUCCUUUGGGUCUCCCUAUGGAAUGUAAGACCCCGACUCUUCCUGGUGAAGCAUCUGAUGCACGUUCCAUCCGGCGCUCAGCUGGGCUUGAGAUUCCUGGGAACACCACCAUGGAGGGCCUGGCCUUUGGCGGUGGACAGUCUGUGGCUGGGUGGGAACGUCAGGAGUGGGGCCUGCCUCUUUGCUGGGAAUGCCGUGCACUCCCAGCCCACUUGCCCCAUGCCAGCACUCGAGGCAGGACUUCGCAGGUGAGCAGUAACGGAAAUCAGCCCCGUUUAUUCCUCCCAGCACCUGCCUUAUCCAACUCCCCACGCUGUGGCUGAGUCCCAGCCUGCUAUGGAAGCAUCACUGGACUCCCAUUGAACUCUGUGCAGAUUCGCUGUUCGUAGACAUGGUACCUGAUGGACACCAAGCUACGUACAGCUUCAAGGCCCCUUCUUUCUUUGCUAAUAAAAAAUAAAAAAUAAAAACAUAA